This 1694-nucleotide ribosomal RNA is filed under the name Ustilaginoidea virens. RNAcentral's name for it is "bacterial SSU rRNA". It matches the Rfam family "Eukaryotic small subunit ribosomal RNA", at positions 174 to 1414 of the family's 1831-position model. The record is from RNAcentral. Lineage: Eukaryota; Fungi; Ascomycota; Sordariomycetes; Hypocreales; Clavicipitaceae.
CUAAAAAUCCCGACUUCGGAAGGGAUGUAUUUAUUAGAUUAAAAACCAAUGCCCUCUGGGCUCUCUUGGUGAAUCAUGAUAACUUCUCGAAUCGCAGGGCCUUGCGCCGGCGAUGGUUCAUUCAAAUUUCUUCCCUAUCAACUUUCGAUGUUUGGGUAGUGGCCAAACAUGGUUGCAACGGGUAACGGAGGGUUAGGGCUCGACCCCGGAGAAGGAGCCUGAGAAACGGCUACUACAUCCAAGGAAGGCAGCAGGCGCGCAAAUUACCCAAUCCCGAUCCGGGGAGGUAGUGACAAUAAAUACUGAUACAGGGCUCUUUUGGGUCUUGUAAUUGGAAUGAGUACAAUUUAAAUCCCUUAACGAGGAACAAUUGGAGGGCAAGUCUGGUGCCAGCAGCCGCGGUAAUUCCAGCUCCAAUAGCGUAUAUUAAAGUUGUUGUGGUUAAAAAGCUCGUAGUUGAACCUUGGGCCUGGCUGGCCGGUCCGCCUCACCGCGUGCACUGGUCCGGCCGGGCCUUUCCCUCUGUGGAACCCCAUGCCCUUCACUGGGUGUGGCGGGGAAACAGGACUUUUACUUUGAAAAAAUUAGAGUGCUCCAGGCAGGCCUAUGCUCGAAUACAUUAGCAUGGAAUAAUGAAAUAGGACGUGCGGUUCUAUUUUGUUGGUUUCUAGGACCGCCGUAAUGAUUAAUAGGGACAGUCGGGGGCAUCAGUAUUCAAUUGUCAGAGGUGAAAUUCUUGGAUUUAUUGAAGACUAACUACUGCGAAAGCAUUUGCCAAGGAUGUUUUCAUUAAUCAGGAACGAAAGUUAGGGGAUCGAAGACGAUCAGAUACCGUCGUAGUCUUAACCAUAAACUAUGCCGACUAGGGAUCGGACGAUGUUAUUUUUUGACUCGUUCGGCACCUUACGAGAAAUCAAAGUGCUUGGGCUCCAGGGGGAGUAUGGUCGCAAGGCUGAAACUUAAAGAAAUUGACGGAAGGGCACCACCAGGGGUAAACCUGACCUGUGAAGCCGCAGUCAACUCUGCUCCAGAAAGCCGCCCGAAAGGGUCGGUGGUGUUCCUAGGGGAGAGCUCUCCCCUAAACUAAUGGCUAGUCCUGCCGCCCGCGGCAGGGCGACACCCUCAAACUGACGGGGAACUCCUAAAGCCCUCGCUCCGGACAGGCGUCGGGAAACCGACGGCCUGCUCACCAGGCUAACGACCUCGGGUAUCGGAAGCAACGCGAGAGGAUGCUACAAUGGACAAUCCGCAGCCAAGCCCCUACGGUGCGGCCUCUACGGGGGUCGCAUACGGGGAAGGUUCAGAGACUUGACGGGGGUGGGUGGCGCGGGCUCUUGGGGUGCAAGCCGCGUGCUUGCUUGCAGGCCCAGGCGCCCGCCGCUGCCUAAGAUAAAGUCCGGGCGUGCGCGAAAGCGUGCGCGGCAACCACGCAACCCGCCGUUUCCAGCGGGUGCGAGGCCCCAGAAGUAAAAACAACCGGGAGCCUGCGGCUUAAUUUGACUCAACACGGGGAAACUCACCAGGUCCAGACACAAUGAGGAUUGACAGAUUGAGAGCUCUUUCUUGAUUUUGUGGGUGGUGGUGCAUGGCCGUUCUUAGUUGGUGGAGUGAUUUGUCUGCUUAAUUGCGAUAACGAACGAGACCUUAACCUGCUAAAUAGCCCGUAUUGCUUUGGCAGUACGCCGGCUUCUUAG